This 84-nucleotide transfer RNA is filed under the name bacterium. RNAcentral describes it as "tRNA-Leu". It matches the Rfam family "tRNA". Rfam says of the family: Transfer RNA (tRNA) molecules are approximately 80 nucleotides in length. The record is from RNAcentral.
GCCAGGGUGGUGAAAUGGUAUACACGCUAGGUUUAGGACCUAGUGCCCUUAAAAAGCGUGCAGGUUCAACUCCUGUCCCUGGCA